Molecule: ribosomal RNA, 499 nt
Filed under: uncultured bacterium
Lineage: Bacteria
Description: partial 16S ribosomal RNA
Rfam family: Bacterial small subunit ribosomal RNA
Source: RNAcentral
GACGAACGCCGGCGGCGUGCCUAAUACAUGCAAGUCGAGCGAAGUUUUUCUGGUACUUGCACCGGAAAAACUUAGCGGCGAACGGGUGAGUAACACGUAAAGAACCUGCCUCAUAGACUGGGACAACUAUUGGAAACGAUAGCUAAUACCGGAUAAUAGCAUUAACUGCAUGGUUGAUGUUUAAAAGUUGGUUUUGCUAACACUAUGAGAUGGCUUUGCGGUGCAUUAGCUAGUUGGUGGGGUAAAGGCCUACCAAGGCGACGAUGCAUAGCCGACCUGAGAGGGUGAUCGGCCACACUGGGACUGAGACACGGCCCAGACUCCUACGGGAGGCAGCAGUAGGGAAUCUUCCGCAAUGGGCGAAAGCCUGACGGAGCAACGCCGCGUGAGUGAAGAAGGAUUUCGGUUCGUAAAGCUCUGUUGUUAGGGAAGAAUGAUUGUGUAGUAACUAUACACAGUAGAGACGGUACCUAACCAGAAAGCCACGGCUAACUACGUG